CAGUAGCCGCGGGAAUACGUAGGGUGCGAGCGUUAAUCGGAAUUACUGGGCGUAAAGCGUGCGCAGGCGGUUCGUUAAGACAGAUGUGAAAUCCCCGGGCUUAACCUGGGAACUGCAUUUGUGACUGGCGAGCUAGAGUAUGGCAGAGGGGGGUAGAAUUCCACGUGUAGCAGUGAAGUGCGUAGAGAUGUGGAGGAAUACCGAUGGCGAAGGCAGCCCCCUGGGCCAAUACUGACGCUCAUGCACGAAAGCGUGGGGGGCAAACAGGAUUAGAUACCCCUGUAGUCCCUGUCUCUUAUAU
RNAcentral lists this ribosomal RNA (301 nucleotides) under uncultured bacterium. RNAcentral's name for it is "partial 16S ribosomal RNA". It matches the Rfam family "Bacterial small subunit ribosomal RNA", at positions 509 to 809 of the family's 1533-position model. The record is from RNAcentral.